GUUUACAAAUAAUGGAGUACAAGCAGCAGCUUUCAGCCUGUGCUCGCUUCACUUCAGCCCUGUGAGCACAUUGGCGUGUGGUGCUCCUGCAGUGUUAGAUGCUGCAUCAGUGGUAUCGGCGCGUCCUCCUCCACCGCUUCCUUCCCCUCGCCCCAGCUCUGGCUGCCCCGGUGCAUCUGCAGCGUCAUCAUCACUGGCUGCAACAAAACUGGUGUUGCUGCCUCACCAGCCCUCCCGAGGAAGUCAUUUUUCUCCUAGCUGAGGAACAGCUUCCAGGUGCCUCACUGCUUCAAAGCCCACAUUACUGUUUUUCAAGUCCAAGUUGGCUAGGGCCCUGGGCAGUCUGAUCCAGUGGGUGGCAACCAGCCCAUGGUGGGGAUUGGAGCUUGCUGAUCUUUGGUCCCCUCCAGCCCAAACUGUUCUGUGAUUCUGUAAUUCUGUGAUUUUUUUUACCUAAUACUGACUGUUUGUGCUCUGACUUCAGAAUUUUGUUUUAAAAAGAUGAAUUUUCUUUGCAUUCAACUCUGCCUCCCUGAUUUUCCACUUACUCCUAAACCUCAGAGGGAAAAUGUGUCUUCCUUCCCCCCAGACUUGGUUUUCUCUUCAGCUGGGACUGAUUUAAUAGUAAGUGGGCUGUUAUGCUGCACUUCCAAGAUUGCUCAAAAGAUGUUGCAGAAAACUGAGCUGUAAUGAAACAGAAAACGAAUUCAGAAUAGAACGAAUAACCCUUUCUUCAACCUCCAGUUAGAAAAAGAGAUGAUUCACUGUAGAAAGUCUAGAUGAAGUUUCUCCAAUUCAGUUCUUGUUUAUUGUCUGUGAGGCGGUGCCGUACUUGUCGUUCUGGCAAUGUGGUAUUGCUUUACUUGAAAAUGGCCUAGUGGCUUUAUUGAUUCAUUCAGGAAGAUGGUUUUAUUUUGUUGGUAAAUUAAAAGUCUGUUUUUGCUUAUAUCAUCAAGAAUGUGGAGCAUACUUUAUGUUUGAGACCACAGAGUAUUUUGGAAAAUGUAAGUAAAGGUAUAAUAAGUUAUGACAAGUAAUACAAUAAAGAUACAGCAC
Gallus gallus (chicken) is the source of this 1056-nucleotide long non-coding RNA. The record is from Ensembl. NCBI's taxonomy places the organism in Eukaryota, Metazoa, Chordata, Aves, Galliformes, Phasianidae.